GACGAACGCUGGCGGCGUGCUUAACACAUGCAAGUCGAACGGAAAGGCCCUGCUUUUGUGGGGUGCUCGAGUGGCGAACGGGUGAGUAACACGUGAGUAACCUGCCCUUGACUUUGGGAUAACUUCAGGAAACUGGGGCUAAUACCGGAUAGGAGCUCCUGCUGCAUGGUGGGGGUUGGAAAGUUUCGGCGGUUGGGGAUGGACUCGCGGCUUAUCAGCUUGUUGGUGGGGUAGUGGCUUACCAAGGCUUUGACGGGUAGCCGGCCUGAGAGGGUGACCGGCCACAUGGGAACUGAGAUACGGCCAAGACUCCUACGGGAGGCAGAGGUGGGGAAUAUUGCACAAUGGGCGGAAGCCUGAUGCAGCAACGCCGCGUGCGGGAUGACGGCCUUCGGGUUGUAAACCGCUUUCGCCUGUGACGAAGCGUGAGUGACGGGAAUGGGUAAAGAAGCACCGGCGACUACGUG
RNAcentral lists this ribosomal RNA (467 nucleotides) under uncultured bacterium. RNAcentral's name for it is "partial 16S ribosomal RNA". It matches the Rfam family "Bacterial small subunit ribosomal RNA", at positions 28 to 507 of the family's 1533-position model. The record is from RNAcentral.